CCCAGGCCGGCCUCGAACUUGGGAUCCUCCUGACUCAGCCUCCCGAGUCGCUGGGAUUACAGGUGUGUACCACUGUGCCUGCUCUCCUGGUUUUCCUACGCAUGCCUGUGAUGACAUGAGUUUUCCUUCCAGGGCUGGUGAGCCGCAGAGACUGGUCUUCUCGUGUAAAAAGCCUGGGUUCUCACGGGCAGCAGGAUGGUCUAAGAGGACUGCCUGGACGUGCCAUGUUCAUACAUGUGACUUGGAAUCCCAGAUGAGAGCUUUCCAAGCUAAUGUGGUUAAGGUGCUGCUGGGGGCGACACUUCCUGCUAUUCCGUGUUCUCCCACGAAGACAGAUCACACCCUCCCUUGCAGCCUGGUCAGGGAUGGAGGUACUGAAACAGGAAGGACGCCAAUGAUAGCUGCCGCCCACACCCCUGCUCUGGCACCAGCUGCUGGGUAGACACAGGGCCACUUCCUCAAAAAGGAGUGCCACCCCGAGGGGAUCGGGGGCUGCAGGAGAUCCUGAUUUCGCCUCCUCACUCUCCUUUCCUGCCCCACCAUGUCACCCCAAAUAGAUGUCUGGCAGGAAGUAAGGGGCAAUAAGGCAGGCGGCCCUGCCCACCGGGCAGCUGGAAGGAAGUGAUCGGAGACGGCUCAGAACAGCCUCCGGGGGCUGGGGAUUGCUUCAAGGAGGCUAAAGAGGAAGGGGCAUGGAGAUGGCAGCCUGCUCUCCCUUCUCUCCCAACUGCCUGGUGACAGAGGAAGCUAGAUUUGCUUUACAACUGAUAUAAGACCAGAUUCUUUUCAAAAGGUAAUGUGUGUCAAAGGGCAGAUGAACGAAAAAUGCUUCUGCUGAACGGGGAGAGGAACAAUGAGAGCCUUUGUUUUAAAAAAAAAUCACCAAAAGAAAAAAAAAAACUACCAGACGACCUAUGACAAAGGUGUGUGGGACUUUAUCUGCCCUCCCACCCAUUAGGGCUAUCAGAGGACCAAACUACCUCAGUUUCCUUUAAAGAUCUUAAUUGGCUUUAUUUUUUAUUCUAUAAUUGGGCAAUGCUUCAUUUCAUAAAACAGAAUGCAUGUUUCUCAGAGCAGAGAAGAAGAGGUUGCUUUUAUAGAGAGAUAAGGGUUGAAAAAACAGAAACCAAAAAAGAAAAUAUAUGUGGAUUUGGUCACUGCAAAGUUAUUUUUUCUUGCAAGACAGAGACAGGAAGAUAAAACAAUAGAAAAAUAACAUCAGGUUAUUUCUGUUACUUUUGGGGUGGGGGACACCAGGGAUUGAACUCAGGGGAACUUGACCACUGAGCCACAUCCCCAGCCCUAUUUUGUAUUUUAUUUAGGGACAGGGUCUCACUGAGUUGCUUAGCAUUUUGCUUUUACUGGGACUGGCUGCCGCAGCCCGGCUGCAGCAAAAUAACCGGGGGGUGACGAGCAACUUGUACAACUUGUACAUUGAUACAGCAGGAGUGGGAGCCGUUUAUUGUAGGACAACAGAGGUAUUUAUACAUUUUACACAGCUUAUCUUAAUUAGCAUAAACUAGAUACAUCAGUCAACCAAUAAGGAAUCUCCACACUUAAUGGCUCACUGGCGUUACUUCACAAACCACUCCCUCUGGCAAAAUGCCAGGCGCCAUCCAGACUUGUUUACAGACUCUAACAUUUGCCAGGCGCCAUCCUGACUUGUUUACAGACUCUAACAACUGGCCUUGAACCAGAGAUCCUCCUGCCUCAGCCUCCCAAUCCUCUGGGAUUACAGACAUGCACCAUCAUGCCCGGCUCUGGUACUUUUUGUUUUUUUAAGACAAAGACAGAGGGAAUUUCAUUAUCUUCCCAAUUGAAACUGACCUGGCAAAUUUGGUCUCCAAUCGUGAUUUCUUGGGUGGUUAGAUAAUCAGCUUAGUUUCACGUUGGUGAUAUGAAACGUUAGCAUGGGGGACUCCAUUUGAUUUUUAACCUGGUGCUAUAGUUUAGACGUUGAACAUUCUCUAAAGGUUCAGGUCUUAAAGGCUUGGUCUGCAGGGUGGCGCUAUUGGGAGAUGCUGAAACCUUGGAGAGGUGGGGCCAGGUGGGAGGUUCUCAGGUCAUUGGGGGAGUGACCUUCAGGAGGAUUCUGGGGCCACAGGCCCUUCCUCUUUUUUCUUUGCUUCCUGGCCAUGAGUUGGGUAAAUUUGCCCCAUCACCCAUUCCUGCCAUGAGUUGCUGCCUUGUCACAGGCCCAAAGUAAAGGAGCCAAUAUAAUCAUGAGUUGGAACCUUCAAAGUCAUGAGCCAGAAUAAACUUUUUCUCUUUAUAAGUUGGUUAUCUCAGGUGUUUGUUACAGUAAUGGAAUGCUGACUAACACACCUGGUUGGUUGGAGCCUGCUGCAAGAGUUUAGUACAAAAUAACAGCUUCCUGCAAUUUUUGGUUAAUGAUAUAUAAAGAGAUCAGUUCCCUGGCUCCAACCAGAAACCUUCUGGGCAAACCUAAAUUUUCUAAGACACUGGCUCUCAAACCUGCUGCACAUUACCAUCGCCUGAGUGUUAAAUAGGAUGCAGAUGCCUGGUCCCAGCUCAGAGAUUUUGAUCUAAUUGGGUUGGGUGGGCCAGGGCAUGGGCUUGUCUCAAAACUUCCCAGGUGAUUCUGAGGUACAGGGAAGUUCAAGAACCAUUGUUAAAAACAUAAGCUUCUCUUCACCUUUCUCUUACCACCUGCCACGCUCCUCAGAGCUUACCCUGCUCUAAUGAGCUUGUUAUUGAUUACCUACCACACAGUCCCUGGGGCCCCCUGGUGCAUCCACAGAUGUAGCCCAUAGCACCACAAUUCACUUCUCUGGACUUGAGCCCUGAUCCUGAGUAGAUCAAUAGAUCUGUCCCAGGGAAAGUGAUUCUUAGAGAGGCACAGAAUGAUUUCCUGAAAUGACCCUUCUCUUGGAAAUACAGACCCCAGCCAGCCCUUAUUACUCUGAAAGGGAGAACCAAAAGCCAUGCUCACUUGGUGGGUGAAAUUGUCUUCUCUCCUUUGACCUUCUCUGCCUGGCUGUGAUAUCGUAAGCUGAUAAAACACCAUCACAUUCCCUGCAAAAUAAAGGAAGGGGACUUCACCCAGAACGGUCUCCAAGUGAGGGAGGACGCGAUGGAGUUUGUUUUUAGGAAAAUGCGUGGACGAUGGAGGCUUCUUAAAAGACUGGAGCCGCGGAGACCAGUUUGGAAGCCACUAGCACAGUGAAGGUGGGAGCCAGGCAGCCGAUCUAGGACCACGGUGGAGACCAACACCAAGGACUUGUAGGUUGCAGAAUCCAUGUGACGGCUGAUAGAUUUCAGGGAGGGAGCGUUGGGCGGUGGGAGAAUUCAGGGAGAUUUUAAUUCCUGUAGCUGGUGAGUGACAAUGUGAUGAUCCAGGAAAGGUUCAGAACCAACAAGGAAAAGAUCCACCAGCCACGAGAGAGAGAGUUGCCUUAGAAACCGAUGGUUUGGAGCUUCUUUUUAAUGUCCCUGUCACGGACAUGGAAUUUCAUGUACAGCACUGACAUUGUCAUCAAACUCUAAGGGUAGUCUGUCCAGGGAAACGAGGAGGAGAGUGAAAUGACUGUAUUUCAUGGUCUGUGCUUUGACACCCCACGCGGGGCUCAUGACCUUAGCUAAAACAAAGGGGCUGGGUGACUGCAGAGGGGAUAAAUGUGAAGUUGGCCCUGACCUUCACUCGUAAUUCCAUAAAAAUCUCUAUAGUAAUGGUUCUAUUAAAUAAAUAGCUUUGCAACGGCUGUAUAAUUACAGCUGUCAUAAUCAUUAAUGUAAUUUACCAAAUGGUAGAAACCACUGCAGCUUGCUUAUUUCUUUAAAAGGCGUAGGAAAUUGGUAGGAAAUGCCAAAAUCCUGUAAUUUUUUUUUUUAAAUUGCAACCCAAGAGAACAAUGUAAGUAUUCUCAGACAUUUGAAUGAAGCCAAUAAAGUAGGGAAAGAAUUUCUCUCUUUUAAAAAAAAAAUAACUUCUCUGAUGAUUGUAACCUUUCUUCUCCAUAUACAUAGCCAUUGUAACAAUUGUAAAAAAAAAUUGUGCAAAAAGUAAAGAGAAAUAAAUAAAACCAGGCACAAUCUGAAUAGAUACAUAUAUAACUAUUACAAACAUUUUGAUGUAUUUCCCAUUUUUUUCCAUAAAUAAAUAUACUUUUUUACAUAUCUGGGGUCACAAUGUAGAUAACAUCUUAUAAUCUAAAUUUUUUCACUUACUAUUAACUAUGAUUAAG
RNAcentral lists this long non-coding RNA (4205 nucleotides) under Marmota monax (woodchuck). Lineage: Eukaryota; Metazoa; Chordata; Mammalia; Rodentia; Sciuridae. The record is from RNAcentral.